UCGUGUCCCCCCCCCCAAGUCUUUCGGGUUUUUUCUGCCUCUCGGUCAUUUCUUUUUGCAUUUCGCGGAAGUUUUCAGCAAAUCCACCCGUGCUCCCAGCUCUCGCAGGGCGCGAUAACACCGGAGCCCUCUGAAAGUUUGAGAAAAAGAGAGGAGGAGGAAGAGGAGGAGGAGAAAUAGGGAGAGAGAAAAUAAAGAGCAACACCUAAGGAAGAGCGAGAAGUUCCUGCAGGAGCUGGACACUGCAGAGGGAUACACCCAGCCCCGCUCCGUGGACGGGAACCGCGUGAACCUGGAUUCGUGUGGGUGUCACGGGCAUCCUAAAAAACAUUUUUUAUCCGAGCAGGGAAAAUACAGAUUAUGGGAAUCACCUAAAGAGCUCCUGAGGCUGUUUUUUGUUGCUGUUGUCUUCAAAAAAUGUUCAGUGCAAAAAGAAAAAAAAUAUCCACAGGAAGAAAAGGGGAAAAGAGCAUUUUUCCCCUUAUAGGGACUUGCCCCUUGUGCCAGGGCUGGAGGAGGCCACGAGCUAUAAAUCUUAGGGCCCAGUGCGCUGCGCGGUCGCGGGUGGCUCCACGGCAACCAACGCAGAAGAGAAAUCGGUUUCCGAGGGGCAGAGACCCACGGGUGUGCGGGGAAGUACCAGCGAUAUUUGCCAGCAGCGGGCCUCGUCCGUACCCUGCUGCCCGCAGCGUAGAGCUCUCAUUCUGAGACUCGCAGGUAGCUUUUUCCACGCAAACAGAGGUGCGGAACGGGGCUGAGUAUUUGGGUGCGGAUAGAUGCUGGUGUUGGCACUCGGUUUGGUGACCCCGAUUUUCUAUGUGCGCCUCCAUCUAUAAAUCGCUGUAGGUUUAUGCCUGUUCCAUGUACAUUAAGCGUUCAUGCAGGAUACGUGCUUGCCUGUUUUAAUCUAGGUGGAGAAGUGGUUGUGGGCAUAGAAAAUCCUGCUUUCACGCAUUUGAGAAAUUACUAGGAGCUCAUUCCGUGCCUCACUGUUGGGGUUUUGGGGUUGGUUUUUGUUUGGGUUGGUUUU
Molecule: long non-coding RNA, 1030 nt
Organism: Grus americana (Whooping crane)
Lineage: Eukaryota; Metazoa; Chordata; Aves; Gruiformes; Gruidae
Exons: 3
Source: RefSeq, a predicted model, not a curated record